This is a long non-coding RNA of Myotis davidii, 92 nucleotides long. RefSeq lists it as uncharacterized. The transcript has 3 exons. NCBI's taxonomy places the organism in Eukaryota, Metazoa, Chordata, Mammalia, Chiroptera, Vespertilionidae. The record is from RefSeq and is a predicted model, not a curated record.
AAAAUCAACUGAGAACCUUGUGAUGGAGAAUCAAAAAAAUAAAAACUCAAGAUUGAAUGAUAAGGGAAGUGGAAGUAGCAGAAGCCGACCCU